This 686-nucleotide long non-coding RNA is filed under the name Capra hircus (goat). RNAcentral's name for it is "lncRNA (ENSCHIG00010029651.1)". Lineage: Eukaryota; Metazoa; Chordata; Mammalia; Artiodactyla; Bovidae. The record is from RNAcentral.
AUGUCCCUGUUUGAGGAGGAGGGCUCAGCCUGCCGCAGCUGGCUUGGGAGCACAGCUGGGGCCUCUGAGGGGACAGCCCCACCUCCAGCAACCACGUGUGAGUGGCUACAGGAACCACGGGGCAGAUGGAGAGGACCCAGCUACACUGCAGGCCUGGCAAAUGGCAGAUGUUUGACAGGACAGUGAGGCCAGGAGAAUGAGAAGGAGGGGGUCAUACCCACAUCCUUAGGAAAACUGGCCAGACGUGGGCUUCUCAGCAUAGGUAAGGAGCUGGGUGGGGGGUGGGGGGUGUGGGGAGAAGGGAGGGAGGAGGGGAGAAGAAGGCUGCUGGUUCCAGAAGGUUCCAACACCAUCAGAAUCUGCAUCCUCUUCCGAGGACCGGAUUUCUGCCGCACUGUUUUAUGUGAAUUAGGAUGAGCAAUGAGAGACAAUUUCAGCCCAAACCCAGAGUCAGUAACUAGUCUAUUGAAACGUUAAAGUUUCUCAGGGUGAGACCCAGCUGGGUGGCAAAGUCCCUGGGUUCCUAAGUGACAGAAACUAAAAAAGAAGAAGGAAAGAUGCAAUGACAAUAAGUAACUAGAAUAACACUCUUGAGAGUCCCUUGGACAGCAAGGAGAUUAAACCAGUCAGUCCUAGAGGAAAUCAACCUCGAAUAUUCAUUGGAAGGACUGAUGCUGAAGCUGAAG